UACGUAGGGUGCGAGCGUUAAUCGGAAUUACUGGGCGUAAAGUGUGCGCAGGCGGCUUCGCAAGUCGAGUGUGAAAUCCCCGAGCUUAACUUGGGAAUUGCGCUCGAAACUACGGAGCUGGAGUGUGGCAGAGGAAGGUGGAAUUCCAGGUGUAGCGGUGAAAUGCGUAGAGAUCGGCAGGAACACCCAGGGGGAAACCAGUCGACUGGGCAGCACCUGACGCUGAGGUGCGAGAGCGUGGGGAGCGAACCGG
This 253-nucleotide ribosomal RNA is filed under the name uncultured bacterium. Its description in RNAcentral is "partial 16S ribosomal RNA". It matches the Rfam family "Bacterial small subunit ribosomal RNA", at positions 524 to 776 of the family's 1533-position model. The record is from RNAcentral.